RNAcentral lists this ribosomal RNA (422 nucleotides) under uncultured bacterium. RNAcentral's name for it is "bacterial SSU rRNA". It matches the Rfam family "Bacterial small subunit ribosomal RNA", at positions 362 to 775 of the family's 1533-position model. The record is from RNAcentral.
UCUUCGGCAAUGGACGAAAGUCUGACCGAGCAACGCCGCGUGAGUGAAGAAGGUUUUCGGAUCGUAAAACUCUGUUGUUAGGGAAGAACAAGUGCCGUUCAAAUAGGGCGGCACCUUGACGGUACCUAACCAGAAAGCCACGGCUAACUACGUGCCAGCAGCCGCGGUAAUACGUAGGUGGCAAGCGUCGUCCGGAAUUAUUGGGCGUAAAGGGCUCGCAGGCGGUUUCUUAAGUCUGAUGUGAAAGCCCCCGGCUCAACCGGGGAGGGUCAUUGGAAACUGGGGAACUUGAGUGCAGAAGAGGAGAGUGGAAUUCCACGUGUAGCGGUGAAAUGCGUAGAGAUGUGGAGGAACACCAGUGGCGAAGGCGGCUCUCUGGUCUGUAACUGACGCUGAGGCUCGAAAGCGUGGGGAGCAAACAG